UGGGCCCUACGGGACGCAGCAGUGAGGAGUAUUGGUCAAUGGGCGGGAGCCUGAACCAGCCAAGUCGCGUGAGGGAAGACGGCCCUAUGGAUUGUAAACCUCUUUAGGCGGGGAGCAAUGCCGGGCAAGCGUGCCCGGAGGGAGAGUACCCGCAGAAUAAGCAUCGGCUAACUCCGUGCCAGCAGCCGCGGUAAUACGGAGGAUGCGAGCGGUAUCCGGAUUUAUUGGGUUUAAAGGGUGCGUAGGCGGAUUUUUAAGUCAGCGGGAAAAUGUCCGGGCUCAACCCGGGCCGGCCGUUGAAACUG
This 305-nucleotide ribosomal RNA is filed under the name uncultured bacterium. RNAcentral describes it as "bacterial SSU rRNA". It matches the Rfam family "Bacterial small subunit ribosomal RNA", at positions 333 to 635 of the family's 1533-position model. The record is from RNAcentral.